GGGGAAUAUUGGACAAUGGGCGAAAGCCUGAUCCAGCAAUACCGCGUGUGUGAAGAAGGCCUUCGGGUUGUAAAGCACUUUCAAUUGGGAGGAAAACCUACCGGUCAAUACCCGGUAGCUUGACAUUACCUUUAGAAGAAGCACCGGCUAACUCCGUGCCAGCAGCCGCGGUAAUACGGAGGGUGCAAGCGUUAAUCGGAAUUACUGGGCGUAAAGCGUGCGUAGGUGGUUCGUUAAGUCAGAUGUGAAAGCCCUGGGCUCAACCUGGGAACUGCAUUUGAAACUGGCGGACUAGAGUUUAGUAGAGGGGAGUGGAAUUUCAGGUGUAGCGGUGAAAUGCGUAGAUAUCUGAAGGAACACCAGUGGCGAAGGCGACUCCCUGGACUAAAACUGACGCUGAGGUACGAAAGCGUGGGUAGCAAA
Molecule: ribosomal RNA, 423 nt
Filed under: uncultured Methylobacter sp.
Lineage: Bacteria; Pseudomonadati; Pseudomonadota; Gammaproteobacteria; Methylococcales; Methylococcaceae
Description: bacterial SSU rRNA
Rfam family: Bacterial small subunit ribosomal RNA
Source: RNAcentral